This 553-nucleotide long non-coding RNA is filed under the name Carassius auratus (goldfish). Its description in RNAcentral is "lncRNA (ENSCARG00000060946.1)". The record is from RNAcentral. Lineage: Eukaryota; Metazoa; Chordata; Actinopteri; Cypriniformes; Cyprinidae.
GGACUGGCGUGGUGUGGAUUGCUUGUGGAUUAUCAAGGCCAGUCGCUUGAAAAUGCAUAUAAAUAGUGUGCCAAAUAAAAACGAAAACUUGUGGUAUUGAAAUGCAAAAAUGGACUCUGGCGUGCAUAUGAUACGCAUGUGUUUGGCGUGCAUAUAAUACGCAGUUUUUUCAUGCAUAUAAUCAGAAAUUUGUUGGCGUGUAUAUGAUGUGCAGGUUUCACGUUCAUAUGAUACGCACAAACCUAAACCUACCCAUCGUGUUGUAUAUGCACGCCAGAGUCCAUUUCUGCGUAUCAAUACCACAAGUUUUUGUUUUUAUUUGGCAUACUAUUUAUACGCAUUUUCAUGAGAGUGGCCUCCUCAUUUUGAUGGCACCCAUUCACUGCAGAGCAUCCACUGGCUGAACUCAAGCUGAUCUCCGUGUGACUCUGUAAUUACCUUUGAAGCGGCCCAGUCACGGGGGAGCGUUGGCGGCGACAAACCAACACCACAUGCAUCUUCCAGGAAGCUUAUGCUACAUCUUUACCCACUUACAGUGUUUAGAAAAAGGACA